This 481-nucleotide ribosomal RNA is filed under the name uncultured bacterium. Its description in RNAcentral is "partial 16S ribosomal RNA". It matches the Rfam family "Bacterial small subunit ribosomal RNA", at positions 28 to 507 of the family's 1533-position model. The record is from RNAcentral.
GAUGAACGCUGGCGGCGUGCUUAACACAUGCAAGUCGAACGAAGCAUUUAGGACAGAUUACUUCGGUUUGCAGUUCUUUAUGACUGAGUGGCGGACGGGUGAGUAACGCGUGGGUAACCUGCCUUGUACUGGGGGAUUGCAGCUGGAAACGGCUGGUAAUACCGCAUAAGCGCACAAUGUUGCAUGACAUGGUGUGAUAAACUCUGGUGGUAUAAGAUGGACCCGCGUCUGAUUAGCUAGUUGGUGCGAUAACAGCCCACCAAGGCGACGAUCAGUAGCCGACAUGAGAGGGUGACAGGCCACAAUGGGACUGAGACACGGCCCAGACUGCUACGGGAGGCAGCAGUGGGGAAUAUUGCACAAUGGAGGAAAGUCUGAGGAAGCGACGCCGCGUGAGUGAAGAAGUAAUUCGUGAUGAAAAGGUCUAUCAGCAGGGAAGAUAGUGACGGUACCUGACUAAGAAGCUCCGGCUAAAUACGUG